Molecule: ribosomal RNA, 468 nt
Filed under: uncultured bacterium
Lineage: Bacteria
Description: partial 16S ribosomal RNA
Rfam family: Bacterial small subunit ribosomal RNA
Source: RNAcentral
GACGAACGCUGGCGGCGUGCUUAACACAUGCAAGUCGAACGGAAAGGCCCUGCUUUUGUGGGGUGCUCGAGUGGCGAACGGGUGAGUAACACGUGAGUAACCUGCCCUUGACUUUGGGAUAACUUCAGGAAACUGGGGCUAAUACCGGAUAGGAGCUCCUGCUGCAUGGUGGGGGUUGGAAAGUUUCGGCGGUUGGGGAUGGACUCGCGGCUUAUCAGCUUGUUGGUGGGGUAGUGGCUUACCAAGGCUUUGACGGGUAGCCGGCCUGAGAGGGUGACCGGCCACAUUGGGACUGAGAUACGGCCCAGACUCCUACGGGAGGGAGCAGUGGGGAAUAUUGCACAAUGGGCGGAGGCCUGAUGCAGCAACGCCGCGUGCGGGAUGACAGCCUUCGGGUUGUAAACCGCUUUCGCCUGUGACGAAACGUGAGUGACGGUAAUGGGUAAAGAAGCACCGGCUAACUACGUG